AUGUUACAGCAAGGAGUCAUCCAGGAGAGCACUAGUCCUUUUGCUUCUCCAGUGUUGUUGGUCAGGAAGAAAGAUGGAACUUGGCGUUUUUGUGUGGACUACAGAAUGUUAAACUCUGUCACAGUGCCCCAUAAAUAUCCAAUGCCAGUAGUGGAUGAGUUACUUGAUGAGUUGGCUGGUGCUACAUUUUUCACUAAGCUGGAUCUUCGAUCAGGAUAUCAUCAAAUACGAGUGGUUGAAGGAGAGGAACAUAAAACAGCUUUUAAAACUCAUCAUGGCUUGUAUGAGUUUAAGGUCAUGCCCUUUGGUUUAAUCAAUGCCCCUGCAACUUUCCAAGCGGCUAUGAAUGCCCUGUUUGCCCAUUUGUUGAGACAUUGUGUGCUUAUCUUCAUGGAUGACAUCUUAAUCUACAGCCCAGACUUGAAAACACAUCUUGAGCACCUCAAUCAGGUUUUCACUAUACUUCAAGAAAAUCAGCUCUUUGUGAAAUUUAGCAAAUGUUCUUUUGCUCAAACAGAGCUGGAAUACUUGGGACAUAUUAUCAGUGGCAAAGGAGUGCAAACUGAUCCUACUAAGAUCAGAGCUGUGCAGCAG
This 594-nucleotide ribosomal RNA is filed under the name Triticum aestivum (bread wheat). RNAcentral's name for it is "partial small subunit ribosomal RNA". Lineage: Eukaryota; Viridiplantae; Streptophyta; Magnoliopsida; Poales; Poaceae. The record is from RNAcentral.